This 301-nucleotide ribosomal RNA is filed under the name uncultured bacterium. RNAcentral describes it as "partial 16S ribosomal RNA". It matches the Rfam family "Bacterial small subunit ribosomal RNA", at positions 509 to 807 of the family's 1533-position model. The record is from RNAcentral.
CAGUAGCCGCGGGAAUACAGAGGGUGCGAGCGUUAAUCGGAUUUACUGGGCGUAAAGCGUGCGUAGGCGGCUAAUUGAGUCGGAUGUGAAAUCCCCGAGCUUAACUUGGGAAUUGCAUUCGAUACUGGUUAGCUAGAGUAUGGGAGAGGAUGGUAGAAUUCCAGGUGUAGCGGUGAAAUGCGUAGAGAUCUGGAGGAAUACCGAUGGCGAAGGCAGCCAUCUGGCCUAAUACUGACGCUGAGGUACGAAAGCAUGGGGAGCAAACAGGAUUAGAUACCCGGGUAGUCCCUGUCUCUUAUAC